Long non-coding RNA from Etheostoma spectabile (orangethroat darter), 542 nucleotides. RefSeq lists it as uncharacterized. The record is from RefSeq and is a predicted model, not a curated record. The transcript has 3 exons. NCBI's taxonomy places the organism in Eukaryota, Metazoa, Chordata, Actinopteri, Perciformes, Percidae.
GGCUGACCAUCUGUGGAAAAGGCAGUUGGGCUGACCGCCUCACCAAGUUGGUCCAGAAAGUACCUCGGAACACACUGAAGCGACGCCGACUUGAACCUACGUUCUGCACGUGUGCAAGACGUAAUACGUCUCCAUGACAGCAGGUGGGGCUAAUGUGUAUUGUCGCCCAAAGAAUGAUGACUGAAAAUGAGUUGAUUGGACAAUUGCGUCACAUGGGUCUGGCUUCUCCAGAAUUUCAAAGCCAGACCAUGAUGGCGGCUCACAUUUUAAGUGAGAAAUAGCCGUGCAGCUGCUGAAUCUGUCUUCAUUUCAGAUGGACAAAGGUCAGUUUAAAAAAAAUCUCAUCUGAUUUUGAGAGGCAGUAGUCACGCUCAUCCCACUUGUCAUUUCCUUGGUUAGAACGCCACCAAUCAGAUUGGUCCAUGAGUCCAACGGCCCGCCUCCCGAUUCAGCAUGUCAAAUCGGCCCAAAUGAAGCCGACGGCUCCUCCGACGGACGACGGCACGGAACACACCGGACAGACUCUAGCAGGCUGUCCGAAG